UGGGGAAUAUUGCACAAUGGGCGCAAGCCUGAUGCAGCCAUGCCGCGUGUAUGAAGAAGGCCUUCGGGUUGUAAAGUACUUUCAGUCGGGAGGAAGGUGGUAAGGUUAAUAACCUUAUCGAUUGACGUUACCGACAGAAGAAGCACCGGCUAACUCCGUGCCAGCAGCCGCGGUAAUACGGAGGGUGCAAGCGUUAAUCGGAAUUACUGGGCGUAAAGCGCACGCAGGCGGUUGAUUGAGUCAGAUGUGAAAUCCCCGGGCUUAACCCGGGAAUUGCAUCUGAUACUGGUCAGCUAGAGUCUUGUAGAGGGGGGUAGAAUUCCAUGUGUAGCGGUGAGAUGCGUAGAGAUGUGGAGGAAUACCGGUGGCGAAGGCGGCCCCCUGGACAAAGACUGACGCUCAGGUGCGAAAGCGUGGGGAGCAAACAGG
RNAcentral lists this ribosomal RNA (429 nucleotides) under Chloroflexota bacterium. RNAcentral's name for it is "Chloroflexi bacterium partial 16S ribosomal RNA". It matches the Rfam family "Bacterial small subunit ribosomal RNA", at positions 355 to 776 of the family's 1533-position model. The record is from RNAcentral. Lineage: Bacteria; Bacillati; Chloroflexota.